UACGUAGGGACCAGGCGUUGUUCGGAUUUACUGGGCGUAAAGGGCGCGUAGGCGGCAAUUCAAGUCAUCUGUGAAAUCUCCGGGCUUAACUCGGAACGGUCAGAUGAUACUGCUUUGCUAGAGUACAGAAGGGGCAAUCGGAAUUCUUGGUGUAGCGGUGAAAUGCGUAGAUAUCAAGAGGAACACCUGAGGUGAAGACGGGUUGCUGGGCUGAUACUGACGCUGAGGCGCGAAAGCUAGGGUAGCAAACGGG
This 253-nucleotide ribosomal RNA is filed under the name uncultured bacterium. Its description in RNAcentral is "partial 16S ribosomal RNA". It matches the Rfam family "Bacterial small subunit ribosomal RNA", at positions 524 to 776 of the family's 1533-position model. The record is from RNAcentral.